GUUUUAUUUUGGGCUGCAUUACUACACUUUUUUAGCUUCAUUACUAUGAAAUUUGGGCUGCAUUGCAGCAAGACAAUUUCAUUUCUCGGCGAGGUCGGGGGAGGUGCUGCAAAUGUUCAACGGCGGUGCUGUAAAUGUUCCGUGGCUCUGCUUCUUUACUACAUUAUUUGUGCUUCAAUGUCUCCGGCGAGGUUGGGGAGGUGCUGCAAAUAUUCAAUGGCAGUGUUGUAAAUGUUUCGUGGCUCUGCUUCUUUACUACAUUAUUUGUGCUUCAA
This is a long non-coding RNA of Lolium perenne, 275 nucleotides long. RefSeq lists it as uncharacterized. NCBI's taxonomy places the organism in Eukaryota, Viridiplantae, Streptophyta, Magnoliopsida, Poales, Poaceae. The record is from RefSeq and is a predicted model, not a curated record.